This 460-nucleotide ribosomal RNA is filed under the name uncultured bacterium. RNAcentral's name for it is "partial 16S ribosomal RNA". It matches the Rfam family "Bacterial small subunit ribosomal RNA", at positions 338 to 795 of the family's 1533-position model. The record is from RNAcentral.
CCUACGGGAGGCAGCAGUGAGGAAUAUUGGUCAAUGGGCGCGAGCCUGAACCAGCCAAGUAGCGUGAAGGAUGAAUGCCCUACGGGUUGUAAACUUCGUUUAUAAAGGAAUGAAGUGAGGCACGUGUGCCUGUUUGUAUGUACUUUAUGAAUAAGGAUCGGCUAACUCCGUGCCAGCAGCCGCGGUAAUACGGAGGAGCCGAGCGUUAUCCGGAUUUAUUGGGUGUAAAGGGAGCGUAGAUGGUUUGUUAAGUCAGUUGUGAAAGUUUGCGGCUCAACCGUAAGAUUGCAAUUGAUACUGGCAGCCUUGAGUACAGUAGAGGUAGGCGGAAUUCGUGGUGUAGCGGUGAAAUGCUUAGAUAUCACGAAGAACUCCGAUUGCGAAGGCAGCUUACUAGACUGCCACUGACAUUGAGGCACGAAAGUGUGGGUAUCAAACAGGAUUAGAUACCCGAGUAGUC